RNAcentral lists this long non-coding RNA (2988 nucleotides) under Homo sapiens (human). RNAcentral describes it as "HSALNT0119103". The record is from RNAcentral. Lineage: Eukaryota; Metazoa; Chordata; Mammalia; Primates; Hominidae.
ACUGAUAAAGGUCCAAUUUUGAGAGAGAAAACACAGUAAUUUGAAUAGGAGAAAUUUAAUAUAAAGGUUUGCCAGCUGUAACAGGUAGCUGGCAUUAUAAGGGAGUGGCUAAUAAAAGUUAAGAAAACUCAGAAGAACAUAGGAAUAGAAGACAGAAGGGGCAGCCACUACUCCCAGGGCUGGACUGGGGAACUUGCUUUAAAUCAGCCCUUUAGGAUGAAAAAGGACAGAAGACGCUGCUCACCAGGAAUUUCUCACUAGAGGCACUUUCCUACAAAACCACUUGAAGAGGUGCCAGAUUGCUUUUUACUGAAAGAAUGCAACAAAGAGAGCUGCCAAGAAAAUACAGUUAUUCCCCCAAAUAGUUCAAAGAACUAUGCCAGUUACCAUGGACACCACAUGUUGAGAUGCUAAAGAGUCAGAAUGGGUCUGUGAGUGAUUAUCUGGAAUGCUGGACAUGUAGAGUUUGUAUGGAGAGUGAGUACUGCGCUAGACAUGGAACAAAUAGAGACCAAAGACAGCAAGACUGACGGCAGCUCAACGGGGGGAGAUAUAAUUCUUAUUUUUUUCAUCUUCCUUCAGGCACUGUAGAAGUCUCGCAUAUAUGAUCAUUUAAAAUUUCGCUGAAGUCAUGUCUGAAUUCUGCACACUGCCUUAUGGAUGUGGGAGAGGUGACUAAACUGAGUCAACGCAGUCAACCACCCAGGACUUGCAAUUCCAGGGGGUUGCAUCCACCUAACCCUCCGGGGUUCUGGCUUCGGAUAGUGUUUGAUCAAUGGAAGCAACAAAAGAAGAUUGGAGGACAUGAAGACAGGUUACUGGAUGAUAUUCGACAUGAGCUGCAAUCCUCCAUCUGAGGUCCCAACUUUUCCAGAAGGCUUCUGUCCUGUUGCGCUCAUUGGAUUCUGGUACCAAAUUACAUAUAUAUCUGUCAAAAUGAUGUAGGACCUAAAGUCUCUCUGUAAGUUGAUCCUUUUGACCCCAUGAUUAGGAGCUUCACAAUGUGGUACCACACCUGGAAACCUCCAGAACAAGAUCUCAAGGAAACACAGGAAAUUCCUGAAACAGCAAAACCCCCUAUGUGAAGACGUCUGUUAUUCCUUUGUGUAUCAGGAGCAUCACUGUUAAUUAACUGUUGAUACACUUAAAACAGCUUGGUUGGCAAUGUCCUUUUUGAAUAAAGAAGAGCCAGGUGUGUUUUUCAGGAUGAACUAGACAAUGCUGUCACAAGUUUACCUCUACAUCUUAUUGCCUUGGAAAAAUUUCCUGCAUAUCGUGGCACAAGAUGGUUGGCUCUCCAGGCAGCAGUUGGCGUUGUGAAUCAGUCAUCUCAGCAUGUGUCUCCAAGAUCCCACAGCAGGGGGAAAAAGAGGUGGAGGGUCACAUGCCUGGUGUUACAUACUUUGAGGCAGAGGUGGUAGGUGCCAUUUCUGCUCACAGCUCAUGGACCAGAACAAAGCCAUGCAUACCUGAGAGAGGACCAGAAAAUAUUCUGAAGCAGAUGGCUAUUUGGUGAGCAGUAAAUGUUUCUGUUACAACAGGUCUUGACAAACUUCAAAUGUACUCCUACUAGGCCUACUUCACACCACUAAACUCUGUACUUCCUGUUGCUUGAUGGCAUCUUAUGCUGAUGUUUUCUAUCAUAGUGUCCGGCACAAAACAAGAGCUCAAUACAUAUACUUAAUAGCGCAUUUAGAUCUAAGAGUUUCACUUUAUCAAAAGAUUUUAGUACCUACGUAGCUAUUGGGCCACAUCAGGAAAAUGUAACUGCUUCUACAACUGCAAAGAAAAUUUAACUAAUUGUAUGCUCAUCCCAGCUUCAGGUUUUUGUUUUGUUUUGUUUGCUAGCUUCUUUUUAUUUCAUAAUUUUUGCUUUGUUUUCUGCCCUUGAGCAGAGGUUCAUUUCUAGUUUUCACUGGAAUUAGAACAACAGUUGUGUCCAUAUGCAAUAACAGUGUUUCAAAUUCUUUGGGGAUUUGCCCACAGUGUCUGCAGUCAUAUUGUGACACCAGUUGUGAUGCCAGUCUCUGUAAAUCAGACUUAUUCCCAGUGAGACAUUAUAUAUUUUUGCAGCCAAUACGAUCUAUUUUAUAGCGAUUUAUAGCAUUGUCUCUGAAAAGGAUACUUUGAUUUGUGUCUUGUUUUUGUCAGUUUUCAACACUUUGAUUGUGGCCCAGGUUAAUUAAUAUUUUGUGUCUAGGUUUCCUCAUCUCUAAAAUAAAGAUGUUUAUUUCUAUAGCUUCAUGUUGACAAUUAAAUUAUAUAAUUUAUGUUACUCAACUAGCAAGUAAAUUGAUGUACAGUGUAUUUAUAAAUGAUAGAUACUAUCUUUAUGUUAAUUUUUAUUAUUGUCAUCAUUAUCAUCAAUUUUCAGGUCCGUGUUCUGACUAAAAGGAAGCCACACUCUGUCGAAAACAAGCUUUGUAAGAAAAUUUUGAAGUAUUUACUUAUAUCUAACCAUUCAUUCCACCUUUUCUCCCAAAUAACACUCUAAUAUCUUGAGACAUCUUGUCUAGGGCCAGAUUUCAUAAAUGCUUGUGAGGCAGGAGAAUAAGUUCCAGAGGCAGUUCACACUGCCUAAAGCCAAUUCACACUGACUUCCUAUAACUAAAUCUAAAGGAAAAUCUCAACUUUCCUCGCCCAAGUAACAAAAGAAUCAGAGGUUAUACUCCCUUUGCAACCUGCCCCUUUUCUGCCUGGCAGAUGAAAAAUGAAAAGUACCUAUGACUGGUCCCCUCCCACGACCAGCCAGACUGGUCACGGAUCACUACUUCAUUUACAUAGGGCGUAAACCGAGUAACCAAUGGGAAACCUCUAGAGGGUAUUUAAACCCCAGAAAAUUCUGUAACCGGUGGUCUCCAGCAGGUUGCUCAAUCUUGCUGCCACUCUGUGGGAUGUACUUUUGUUUCAAUAAAUCUGUGCUCUUCCUUCGUGGUUUUGUUUGUGCUUUUUGUCCAACUCUUUGUUCAAAAUGCCAGGAACAUGGAC